GACGCAGCCACACGGGAACUGAGACACGGCCGAUCCUAACGGGAGGCAGCAGCAAGAUCUCCGCAAUGGGCGAAGCUGACGGAGCACGCCGCGUGUGGGAUGACGCCUUUCGGGGUGUAAACCACUUUUCUCAGGGAAGAAGCACUGACGGUACUGAGAAGAAGGACCGGCUAACUACGUGCCAGCAGCCGCGGUAAUACGUAGGUCCGAGCGUUGUCCGGAGUUACUGGGCGUAAAGCGCACGUAGGCGGCCUGUUAAGUGAGUAGUGAAAUCUCCAGCGCUCAACGCGGAAAUAGCUUCUCAUACUGGCAGGCUUGAGGGAUGCAGAGGUAAGUGGAAUUCCCGGUGUAACGGUGACAUGUGUUGAUAUCGGGAGGAACACCCAUGGCGAAGGCAGCUUACUGGGCAUUUCCUGACGCUGAGGUGCGAAAGCGUGGGUAGCAAACAGAAUUAGAUACUCUGGUAGUCCACGCCCUAAACGAUGGAUACUAGGCGUAAGAGGUAUCGACCCCUCUUGUGCCGCAGCUAACGCAUUAAGUAUCCCGCCUGGGGAGUACGGCCGCAAGGUUGAAACUCAAAUGAAUUGACGGGGACCCGCACAAGCGGUGGAGCAUGUGGAUUAAUUCGAUACUAACCGAAGAACCUUACCUAGGC
This 655-nucleotide ribosomal RNA is filed under the name uncultured bacterium. RNAcentral's name for it is "bacterial SSU rRNA". It matches the Rfam family "Bacterial small subunit ribosomal RNA", at positions 299 to 980 of the family's 1533-position model. The record is from RNAcentral.